AGUUGAGGUAGGGGGAAUGUAUCAUGUAGCGGUGAAUUGCAUAGAUUUGAUACAGAACACCGAUAGCGAAGGCAGCUUCCCAAACUGUAACUGACAAUCCUUCAGGAAAGCGUGGGGAGCAAUCACGAUUUGAUACCCUGGUAGUCCACGCUGUAAAAUCUGAUCACUUUCUGUUGGCGAUUCACUGUUAGCGGAUUAGUGAAAUUGUUAACUGAUCCACUUGGGGAGUACGAUUGCAAGUUUGAAACUCAAAGGAAUUGUCGGGGGCCCGCUCAAGCGGAGGAGCAUGUGGUUUAAUUCGAUGAUACCCGAGGUACCUUUCCUGGUGCUUAAAUGCAGAAUUACCUCCCGAGAUAUCGGGCCUUCCUUCGGGACGGACUGCAAGGUCAUGCAUGUUUUUAGUCAGCUUGUUCCGUGAGGUGUUGGAUUAAGUCCCAUAACGAGCGCAACCCUUUUCGUUAGUUGCCAACAGGUAAUGCUGGGAACUUUAAGGAAACUGCCUUCGCAAGUAGUGAGGAAGGUGGGGAGGACGUCAAAUCUGCUCGGCCCUUAUGUCCAGGGCUCCCCACGUGUUCCAAUGGUGGGUACAGAGGGCAGCUACCUGGCAACAGGAUCCUAUUCUCGAAAGCCGUUCUCAGUUCGGAUUGGAGUCUGCAACUCGACUCCAUGAAGUU
This 674-nucleotide ribosomal RNA is filed under the name uncultured organism. Its description in RNAcentral is "bacterial SSU rRNA". It matches the Rfam family "Bacterial small subunit ribosomal RNA", at positions 650 to 1327 of the family's 1533-position model. The record is from RNAcentral.